This 157-nucleotide ribosomal RNA is filed under the name Corynebacterium lipophiloflavum DSM 44291. Lineage: Bacteria; Bacillati; Actinomycetota; Actinomycetes; Mycobacteriales; Corynebacteriaceae. The record is from RNAcentral.
AAGGGCGUACGGUGGAUGCCUUGGCAUGCUGAGCCGAUGAAGGACGUGUGAGGCUGCGUUAUGCCUCGGGGAGUUGCCAACUAAGCGUUGAUCCGAGGAUGUCCGAAUGGGGAAACCUGGCACCAGUUGUGUGGUGUUACCCGCAGGUGAAUUCAUA